AUCCAGCUGACGAGUCCCAAAUAGGACGAAACGCGCGUCCAGCUGGAU
Schistosoma rodhaini is the source of this 48-nucleotide non-coding RNA. Lineage: Eukaryota; Metazoa; Platyhelminthes; Trematoda; Strigeidida; Schistosomatidae. The record is from Rfam.